This 2206-nucleotide long non-coding RNA is filed under the name Homo sapiens (human). RNAcentral's name for it is "CATED platinum resistance associated lncRNA regulator of DHX36". The record is from RNAcentral. Lineage: Eukaryota; Metazoa; Chordata; Mammalia; Primates; Hominidae.
GCUGCUGUAGCCCCUACGUGGUGAGUAGAUCGUCUCCACAGAAAUCAGCGGAGGCUUCCACAGUCCCUGGUUGGAAUGGAACCGGCGGUGAGGAUGAGAGGCGCUGAAGACCAGAAGACCCAGGGCGUGAACGGGGCGUGUCAUCCCUGGAGUUUCAGUAGAAUUUCAGGCCUGUCUGCUUGAGCAGCAGAGGAGGAGUUUCUGUGUGCCUGUGAGAGACUGUGUGUGUGUGUGUGUGUGUGUGUGUGUGUGAGAUGAAUGAACAGGGUUGUGUACGUGUGUGUGCGUUAGACAAAUGAACAGUGUUGUGUACCUGUGUGAAUUGUCACUGUGACUCCAGGCUCUAGGCUCUGCAGAUUCCUCAGCCCUAUCGCCUCACAGACACUUGGGAUGUGCAGCAGGUAAAAGAGAGAAGCCAGAUUCAUGGAGGCGUGAAGGAUCCCAGCAAGAAAACACAGACUUGAUCUUGAGACGAGAUUUUUGAAAUUGGUUGCGGCCUCAAGGCAGGCUCUGAGAAGACUCGAUAAAGAGUUCUCAGGAAUAGGCAUCCCUCCUGGAUAUUUCCCCCUUGGAAGCGCCGAGGAGCCAGCUCUAUGUUUGUAACCAUAGCAUUUCUAAAGCUCCAGCCCCAGGAACCUGCUGUGAAUUAGAGACAGAUUCCACCCUAGGCAUCACUGAUCUUGGCCUCUCUUGUAUUGGGAAGGUCAACACUGUUCCAGUUUCUCUCCUACUCCCAUCUGGUUGUGCUCGGUGAAGUAGGUGAGCAGUGCUACCCUUCUGUUAAAAAAAAAAAAAAAAAAAAGAUCCUGAAAGAGGAAAGAAUUUUUGCUACACAUCUGAAAGCUAAAGUCCAGUUGAACUCCAGAGGAGAACACAGCCCAGGUAACCCCUCGUUUGCAGCCUGUGAGACCAGCCUGAGGACAGCACCCAGCUAAACUCCAGGUCCAUGGAAACUGUGAGAUUUUAUAUAUUUAUGUUGUUUUAAGCUAAAUUCGUGGUAAUUGGUUAUGGUAGCAACUGAAAAUUAAUGCAGUAAGAAAGUCUAAGGAGAUCGGAAGAGACUAAAGAGAAAUAACAGCUAAAUGCAACGUAGAUUAAUGUGUGGGAUCCUGGAAAAGAAAAAGGACAUUAAUGGGAAAACAUAUUUGAAUAAGAUGUGCAAAUUUUUCGUAUUGUACCAAUGUUAAUUUCCUGGUUUUGAUAAUUAUCCUUUGGUUAUGUAAGAUAAACGCUAGAAUGAAGGGUAUAUGAGAACCCUCUGUACUACUCUUGCAACUUUUCUCUAAGUCUAAAAUAAGUGGAAAUUAAAAGUUAAAACAAAAAAAAAGGAAAAUUUUAUCUAUCCCAAGACCACAAAGUUAUUUUUCUGUUUCUUCCUCCAGAAUCUUUAUUGUUUGUUUUCACACUUAGACCUAUGAUCCAUCUUGAAUUUAUAUCUGUGUAUGUAGUGGGAUGAAGUUCAAAAUCAUUUUUUUCAUACAGAUAUCCAAGUGCACUGGCACCGUUUGUUAAAAACACUGGCCUUCUCUUAAGCUGCAGUCAGACUUUUACUGUAAAGCAUGGGCCCAUAUAUGUGCAGGAGUCUUUCUACUUUUCCGUUGGUCCUCUUUGUCAAUCUUUGUGCCAGCACCUCCAUUUUAAUUCCUGUAGCUUUAUAUUAUAUCUUGAUAAUCUGGUAAUAUAAGUUGAAGAACAACUUUGUUCUUCAAAAUCACUUUGUCUAUUCCAGGUUCUUUGCAUUGCUCUAUAAUUUUAGAAUGAGUUAAUUAAUUUUCUCAAAACAAACAAAACGCCCUGCUGACAUUUUGUUGGCAGUACAUUGAAUCAGUAGAUAAAUUUAGAGAGAAUUAUCUCAAAAUUGAGUCUUACAGUUCAUGAACAUGGAAUACAUUUCCAUUUAUUGAAUUCAUCUUUAAUUUCUUUCCUUAAGGUUUUGUUGUUUCCUGUCUAAAGGUCUUGCACAUCUGUUAAAUUUAUUCCUGUUUUACAUUUUUUAUGUUUUUACAAACUGUUAAGGUUUUAAAAAUUUUAUUUUUCAGUAGCUUUGCUUUAAUAUAAUUGUUUUAUACUUUUACCCUUUAUUCAGCAAUAAAUUAUUUAAUUUAAAGCUUGUGGAAUUAAAAAAUAUUUUUAUGUACAUAAUCAUGUAAUCUACACUAUCUGCAAAUAAAGAUCAUUUUACUUCCUUCCAAAAAAAAAAAAAAAA